GAGGGAACUACACGCGCCAGGU
Molecule: non-coding RNA, 22 nt
Filed under: Arabidopsis thaliana (thale cress)
Lineage: Eukaryota; Viridiplantae; Streptophyta; Magnoliopsida; Brassicales; Brassicaceae
Source: RNAcentral